This 322-nucleotide ribosomal RNA is filed under the name uncultured Cercozoa. Its description in RNAcentral is "SSU rRNA". The stretch from base 105 to 322 matches the Rfam family "Eukaryotic small subunit ribosomal RNA", at positions 736 to 955 of the family's 1831-position model. Lineage: Eukaryota; Cercozoa. The record is from RNAcentral.
GAUUUCUGGUUUAAUGCACCUGGCCCGCGGCCACUAGGCUUGUGAGUGCCGGCGCGCGUUUACCAUCCUUCUAGAAAACGAUUCUGCCAUUAACUUGGUUGGGAUCGCGAUCUAGAUCUUUUACUUUGAAAAAAUUAGAGUGUUUAAAGCAGGCUUUUGCUAUGAAUACAUUAGCAUGGAAUAAUAAUCUAGGACUUCGGUUCUAUUUUGUUGGUUUCUAUAACUGAAGUAAUGAUUGAUAGGGAUAGUUGGGGGUGCUAGUAUUGGCCGGCCAGAGGUGAAAUUCUUGGAUUCGGUCAAGACUAACUUAUGCGAAAGCAUU